AGCCUUCUGUAUCCGUACUGAUAUUUCGUCACACACCAGACCACAAGGGCUGACGAGACUCCCAAGAUAAGUGAAGCU
Schistosoma mansoni is the source of this 78-nucleotide microRNA precursor. It matches the Rfam family "mir-3492 microRNA precursor family". Lineage: Eukaryota; Metazoa; Platyhelminthes; Trematoda; Strigeidida; Schistosomatidae. The record is from Rfam.